Molecule: ribosomal RNA, 531 nt
Filed under: uncultured Flavobacterium sp.
Lineage: Bacteria; Pseudomonadati; Bacteroidota; Flavobacteriia; Flavobacteriales; Flavobacteriaceae
Description: bacterial SSU rRNA
Rfam family: Bacterial small subunit ribosomal RNA
Source: RNAcentral
AGAGACCGGCGCACGGGUGCGUAACGCGUAUGCAAUCUACCUUUCACAGAGGGAUAGCCCAGAGAAAUUUGGAUUAAUACCUCAUAGUAUAGCAGUUUCGCAUGAAACCACUAUUAAAGUCACAACGGUGAAAGAUGAGCAUGCGUCCCAUUAGCUAGUUGGUAAGGUAACGGCUUACCAAGGCAACGAUGGGUAGGGGUCCUGAGAGGGAGAUCCCCCACACUGGUACUGAGACACGGACCAGACUCCUACGGGAGGCAGCAGUGAGGAAUAUUGGACAAUGGGCGCAAGCCUGAUCCAGCCAUGCCGCGUGCAGGAUGACGGUCCUAUGGAUUGUAAACUGCUUUUGUACAGGAAGAAACACUCCCUCGUGAGGGAGCUUGACGGUACUGUAAGAAUAAGGAUCGGCUAACUCCGUGCCAGCAGCCGCGGUAAUACGGAGGAUCCAAGCGUUAUCCGGAAUCAUUGGGUUUAAAGGGUCCGUAGGCGGUUUAGUAAGUCAGUGGUGAAAGCCCAUCGCUCAACGGUGGA